CCGAACUGUCUACAUGAGUUGUUGCUGGCCCUCGAAAGGGGGCACGUGCACGCUCUGUUUACACAUCCACUCACACCUGUGCACCCUCUGUAGUUCUAUGGCCUUGGGGACCCUGUCCCCUUGCUGUGGUCCUACGUCUUUACACACACACCAUAACAAAGUCUCAUGGAAUGUAUGCCGCGUUUAACGCAAUACAAUA
Molecule: unclassified non-coding RNA, 199 nt
Filed under: uncultured Tomentella
Lineage: Eukaryota; Fungi; Basidiomycota; Agaricomycetes; Thelephorales; Thelephoraceae
Description: sequence contains ITS1
Source: RNAcentral